RNAcentral lists this transfer RNA (73 nucleotides) under Fermentimonas caenicola. RNAcentral's name for it is "tRNA-Gly (GCC) (tRNA-Gly-GCC-1-1)". It matches the Rfam family "tRNA". From Rfam's summary of the family: Transfer RNA (tRNA) molecules are approximately 80 nucleotides in length. Their secondary structure includes four short double-helical elements and three loops (D, anti-codon, and T loops). Lineage: Bacteria; Pseudomonadati; Bacteroidota; Bacteroidia; Bacteroidales; Dysgonomonadaceae. RNAcentral also lists the same sequence under 5 other names. The record is from Rfam by way of RNAcentral.
GCGGAAGUAGCUCAGUUGGUAGAGCACGACCUUGCCAAGGUCGGGGUCGCGAGUUCGAGCCUCGUCUUCCGCU